Molecule: small RNA, 716 nt
Filed under: Pongo abelii (Sumatran orangutan)
Lineage: Eukaryota; Metazoa; Chordata; Mammalia; Primates; Hominidae
Description: retained intron
Source: RNAcentral
AGUGAUGGAGGAGAGAAGAUGGCGGAAGCGGAAUUUAAGGACCAUAGUACAGCUAUGGAUACUGAACCAAACCCGGGAACAUCUUCUGUGUCAACAACAACCAGCAGUACCACCACCACCACCAUCACCACUUCCUCCUCUCGAAUGCAGCAGCCACAGAUCUCUGUCUACAGUGGUUCAGACCGACAUGCUGUACAGGUAAUUCAACAGGCAUUGCAUCGGCCCCCCAGCUCAGCUGCUCAGUACCUUCAGCAAAUGUAUGCAGCCCAACAACAGCACUUGAUGCUGCAUACUGCAGCUCUUCAGCAGCAGCAUUUAAGCAGCUCCCAGCUUCAGAGCCUUGCUGCCGUUCAGGCAAGUUUGUCCAGUGGAAGACCAUCUACAUCUCCCACAGGAAGUGUUACACAGCAGUCAAGUAUGUCCCAAACGUCUGUAAGUCCCUAAAUUUUUUUUUCUUGGAUUUAAAAUUUUAAAGAAUUGUUUUCCAAAAGUAAACUUGUUAUUUAUGAAGCUGUUGUUAUAAUUUGUUGCAUGCUGUUUAAAGUAACAAUUGCCCAGAAAUAGGAAUGAUAAAAUUCAAGAAUUCAGAACUAAUGUUAAACUUAUGAAAAUCUGAGUCUUAAAAAAAUCUUUUUGUAUUAUUUCUUGUAUAUCCUUUUGCACUGAACAUGUUCAGAUCUUAUGUGGUUUCAGUUUUCUGUGUGUAUUGAAAGCCU